This 74-nucleotide transfer RNA is filed under the name Dysgonamonadaceae bacterium. Its description in RNAcentral is "tRNA-Ile". It matches the Rfam family "tRNA". Rfam says of the family: Transfer RNA (tRNA) molecules are approximately 80 nucleotides in length. Their secondary structure includes four short double-helical elements and three loops (D, anti-codon, and T loops). The record is from RNAcentral. Lineage: Bacteria; Pseudomonadati; Bacteroidota; Bacteroidia; Bacteroidales; Dysgonomonadaceae.
GGGGUUGUAGCUCAGUUGGUUAGAGCACUCGACUCAUAAUCAAGCGGUCUUGGGUUCAAGUCCCAACUGCCCCA